This 1658-nucleotide long non-coding RNA is filed under the name Triticum aestivum (bread wheat). Its description in RNAcentral is "long non-coding RNA (TAES_LNC017027)". The record is from RNAcentral. Lineage: Eukaryota; Viridiplantae; Streptophyta; Magnoliopsida; Poales; Poaceae.
UAGAGACCUGUCCAAAUAUGAUUUGCCAUAUGCUGCUGCGCUUGGUUUAGAAUCGGUUUACAAAUAUUAAUUUCUUACUAAUUGAUACACACGUGACUACAGAAGCUGUAUCAAUUGUAUGGAUAGACUAGGAUCCGGCGAACAUGCAUACAUUCAGUUCUGCUCUACCCUCCAGUUUUGGUUGCCAAUGUGAUUGCUUGAUAUUUAACCUAUGACUGAUCUUGCUAGGUCCAUGCUAAUAACAAUCCUCUUGCAUUUAAAUUUGAGUUUUACCCGGGCUCAAGUGAUAUGCACGUUAUUAAAGGGCGAGAGUGGACAACCUGAUCUGCUUCAGUGGUGACGAAGGUACACAUGUAUACAUUGAGUAGCAAACUCCAUUACUUCUGAAUUAUAUUGAUGAUAUCGUAUCUGACAUUCUGGUUGGUUUGGUGUUCCUCUUUAGAAUAAAGGUCUCAAGCUUCUAUUUUAUCCAAUGGCAUUUUCUAUGUUCUUCUUAUAUUGAUGUUCAGGCCAGAUCCCACCAGACUUUGCUUUACUUUGUAGUUAUCAUGAGAGUAAGUAACAAACAGUUUUACUUCUGUUUAUCCCUUUGUCACUAGCAUGCACAUGAGGUGGUCCUUUUAGCUUCUCUGUGGAUUGUGUAUAGGUAGCUGUAUUUUGGGUACUAAACUGCUGUAUAGUUUUGUUAAUGCCAUAGUUUUGGUUAGUGCCAGAUUUAAUCGAGUGGGUAAAGGAAAAUGUUACAAAACCUCUGUUAGAGUUGAAUUCUGCUUGAUGCAUACAGGAACCGAUAUUGUGAACAUUGGGUCCAUUUGGGUUGUGGAUUGAUUUAUUAUGAUGGCGAAACACGCCUAUGGCGAGAUUAUAUUCGAUGAUGUUGUGCACUCUUCACAUGCUUAAUCCUAGCUAAUUGCUUCUCUAUCAUCUUUGAACUGCAGGAGAUGAUCGAGUUGGGCUCGGACGUUGCUGGCCGCCGGCUUGGUCUGCAAGAGGACUUUCCCCUGCCGCGGCAGGCCAUGGAGAGAGUAAGAUUUCAUGGUCUUUUUGAUCUCCUAUUUCCUUUUCUAUGUGGAGUAAGUAUAAUGAUGAUGGAUCCGAACCUGUGUAUUAGAUUGUGACCUUUUUGCUCCUUUGCAAGCUUUGCACGUUUUUAGUAUAGUUUUUCCAUGCUAUAUUGCUUAAGCAUCAUUCUGUCUUGACAUGAUAUGCUAAUUGGAUCUUCACCUUGGAGGUUUAUUGCGUAUGUACGUGGUUCAUAUAGCGUUUAGUCUCAACCCUCAAGAGGUGCUAAUUAUGUUUUAUUCCUAACUCUGUGCUUUAAUGUUCAGUUCUGAUGGGUUUCUUUCUUAUAAUGUUAGUAGAAAAGAAAAGAAAUCAAAUUGUUUAGGCUUCUUAUAAAUAGAUUUAUCCACCAGAUUAAGUCGUAAACAAACAUUCAGAUUCAGGCCCUCUCCCUCUCCCUCUGCUUCUCAGUAAAAACAAGGGCCUUUCUUCAGAGUUACACUUGGUUGACUGAUUUGGUUCCUUGGGUUCAGACCAGUUUCAUCUUCUUUGGUUGAUUGAUGGAUUGAUCCGCUGAUCUGCAUUGCUUGCAGGGUGACCAAGUGAUUGACUCUAGGGCCGCCGUGGUGGUGCUCGUGGUGCCCGACGCCUGCUGC